RNAcentral lists this ribosomal RNA (460 nucleotides) under uncultured bacterium. RNAcentral's name for it is "partial 16S ribosomal RNA". It matches the Rfam family "Bacterial small subunit ribosomal RNA", at positions 338 to 795 of the family's 1533-position model. The record is from RNAcentral.
CCUACGGGUGGCAGCAGUGAGGAAUAUUGGUCAAUGGACGCAAGUCUGAACCAGCCAUGCCGCGUGCAGGAAGACGGUUCUAUGAGUUGUAAACCGCUUUUGUACGAGGGUAAACGCAGAUACGUGUCUCUGUCUGAAAGUAUCUUACGAAUAAGGAUCGGCUAACUCCGUGCCAGCAGCCGCGGUAAUACGGAGGAUUCAAGCGUUAUCCGGAUUUAUUGGGGUUAAAGGGUGCGUAGGCGGUCUGAUAAGUUAGAGGUGAAAUCCCGAGGCUCAACUUCGGAAUUGCCUUUGAUACUGUUCGGCUAGAGAGUAGUAGAGGUAGGCGGAAUGCAUGGUGUAGCGGUGAAAUGCGUAGAGAUCAUACAGAACACCGAUUGCGAAGGCAGCUUACCAGGAUACUUCUGACGUUGAGGCACGAAAGCGUGGGGAGCAAACAGGAUUAGAUACCCCAGUAGUC